CACGGGGGGAGCAAGCGUUGUUCGGAAUCACUGGGUGUAAAGGGCGUGUAGGCGGUUAGGUAAGUGGGAUGUGAAAGCCCCCGGCUCACCCGGGGACCUGCAUUCCAAACUGCCUGACUUGAGUAUGGGAGAGGAUAGGGGAAUUCCUGGUGUAGCGGUGAAAUGCGUAGAUAUCAGGAGGAACACCGGUGGCGAAGGCGCCUAUCUGGCCCAAUACUGACGCUGAGGCGCGAAAGCUAGGGGAGCAAACGGG
RNAcentral lists this ribosomal RNA (253 nucleotides) under uncultured bacterium. RNAcentral's name for it is "partial 16S ribosomal RNA". It matches the Rfam family "Bacterial small subunit ribosomal RNA", at positions 524 to 776 of the family's 1533-position model. The record is from RNAcentral.